GGGACGAGCCGUGACUGGCGCUUGGGUGGAGUACCACCGUGGAGCGGCUCGACCGGUGUGGUCACUGCCGUGCGCCUGGGCGAUUCCG
RNAcentral lists this non-coding RNA (88 nucleotides) under Streptomyces noursei. RNAcentral's name for it is "Streptomyces albulus ZTP sequence". It matches the Rfam family "ZMP/ZTP riboswitch aptamer (pfl RNA motif)". Rfam says of the family: Previously known as pfl RNA. ZMP is also known as AICAR. The record is from RNAcentral. Lineage: Bacteria; Bacillati; Actinomycetota; Actinomycetes; Kitasatosporales; Streptomycetaceae.